GAUGAACGCUGGCGGCGUGCCUAAUACAUGCAAGUCGAGCGAACAGACGAGGAGCUUGCUCCUCUGACGUUAGCGGCGGACGGGUGAGUAACACGUGGAUAACCUACCUAUAAGACUGGGAUAACUUCGGGAAACCGGAGCUAAUACCGGAUAAUAUAUUGAACCGCAUGGUUCAAUAGUGAAAGACGGUUUUGCUGUCACUUAUAGAUGGAUCCGCGCCGCAUUAGCUAGUUGGUAAGGUAACGGCUUACCAAGGCGACGAUGCGUAGCCGACCUGAGAGGGUGAUAGGCCACACUGGAACGGAGCCGCGGACCAGACGCCUACGGGAGGCAGCAGUAGGGAAUCUGCCGCAAUGGGCGAAAGCCUGACGGAGCAACGCCGCGUGAGUGAUGAAGGUCUUCGGAUCGUAAAACUCUGUUAUUAGGGAAGAACAAAUGUGUAAGUAACUGUGCACGUCUUGACGGUACCUAAUCAGAAAGCAACGGCUAACUACGUG
This 497-nucleotide ribosomal RNA is filed under the name uncultured bacterium. RNAcentral's name for it is "partial 16S ribosomal RNA". It matches the Rfam family "Bacterial small subunit ribosomal RNA", at positions 28 to 507 of the family's 1533-position model. The record is from RNAcentral.